GGGGUAAAAUUAAUAAAUAAAGAAUUAAUAAAAGAAAUUUUAAUGUUAAAAGUAUUUAAUGGGGGUUAAAGUAUUUUUAAUUGAAAAAAUUUGAAAUUUUAUAGUUAAUUAGUAUUGUGAAAGAAAUUUGAAAUAUGUUGUGAAAUAUAAAUUAAUUUAAAAGUAUAUUUUAUUUAUUGUAUCUUGUGUAUCAAAGUUUAUAAAAAAAUUUUUAUUUAUUUAAAUUUCUCGAAUUUAAAAGAGUUAAUUAAUUAAAAAAUUUAUUGUUUCAUAAAUAUUUUAAAUAAUUAAUUAGAAAUGAAAUGUUAUUCGUUUUUAAAUAUAUCUAGUUAUUUUAGAAAAAAAUUUAAUUUUUAAUUUAAAUAUAAAAUUAAUUAAUUAAUUAAUUAAUUUUAUAUUUAAAUUUAAUAUUUUAAGGGAUAAGCUUUAAUUUAAAUUUUUAUAAUAAAAAUUAUUAAUUUGAAAAUUUUAUAAUUUAUAUUGUUAAUAAAUUUUAUUUUAUUAUAAAUAAUUUCAUAAAAUUGAAAAUUUAAUUAAAAAUUUAAUUUUUUAUAAAAAAAUUUUUUUAAAUAAUAUAAAAUUAGUUAUAAUGAUAAAAUUAGUAUAAAAAUAAUAAAUUUAAAAUAUAAUUUUUUAAUAAUUAUUUUAAAGGAAUUCGACAAAAAUUUAUAUUCCCCUGUUUAUCAAAAACAUGUCUUUUUGGUUAAUAAUUUAAAGUCUAAUCUGCCCCCUGAUUUAUAUUAAAGGGCUGCAGUAUAUUGACUGUACAAAGGUAGCAUAAUCCUUAGUCUCUUAAUUGGUGACUUGUAUGAAAGAUUGGAUGAAAUAUAUAUUGUCUCUAUUAUAUUUAAUAGAAUUUAAUUUUUUAAUUAAAAAGUUAAAAUAUAUUAAAAAGACGGGAAGGCCCUAUAGAGUUUUAUAUUUAUUUAUUUUUAAAUUUUUAAUAAAUAGUUUAUUUUAAGAAAUAAGAAAGUAUUUUGUUGGGGUGAUAAAAAAAUAAAUUUAACUUUUUUUUAAUUUAUACAUAAAUAAAUGAAUUUUUGAUCCAGUAUUUUUGAUUAUAAGAAAAAAUUACCUUAGGGAUAACAGCGUAAUUUUUUUUUUUAGUUCAAAUAAAAAAAAAAGUUUGCGACCUCGAUGUUGGAUUAAGAUAAAAUUUAAAUGUAGAAGUUUAAAAUUUUGAUCUGUUCGAUCAUUAAAAUCUUACAUGAUCUGAGUUCAAACCGGUGUAAGCCAGGUUGGUUUCUAUCUUUUAAUUUUUUUAAUAUUUUAGUACGAAAGGAUCAAAUAUUAUAAUUAAAUUAAUUUAUUGAAUUUUAUUAAAUAGUUAAAAUAAAUUUUUUA
This 1344-nucleotide ribosomal RNA is filed under the name Ampelophaga rubiginosa. RNAcentral's name for it is "16S ribosomal RNA". The record is from RNAcentral. Lineage: Eukaryota; Metazoa; Arthropoda; Insecta; Lepidoptera; Sphingidae.